UACGUAGGGGGCUAGCGUUGUCCGGAAUCAUUGGGCGUAAAGUGCGUGUAGGCGGUCCGGUAAGUCCGCUGUGAAAGUCGGGGGCUCAACCCUCGAAUGCCGGUGGAUACUGUCGGGCUAGAGUGCGGAAGAGGCGAGUGGAAUUCCUGGUGUAGCGGUGAAAUGCGCAGAUAUCAGGAGGAACACCUAUUGCGAAGGCAGCUCGCUGGGACGUAACUGACGCUGAGACGCGAAAGCGUGGGGAGCAAACAGG
Molecule: ribosomal RNA, 253 nt
Filed under: uncultured bacterium
Lineage: Bacteria
Description: partial 16S ribosomal RNA
Rfam family: Bacterial small subunit ribosomal RNA
Source: RNAcentral